Molecule: long non-coding RNA, 631 nt
Filed under: Homo sapiens (human)
Lineage: Eukaryota; Metazoa; Chordata; Mammalia; Primates; Hominidae
Description: non-protein coding lnc-HDAC9-8:1
Source: RNAcentral
GGAGACAGUAAGAGAUGAAGAGAUGCUACUAAGCCCUCUGAAUACCAAACUGGAAUAAUAAUAAAGCUGUCUUUUAAAAUAACAUGCUUGUGCCUGUCAGUAGCUGCUUUAUUUGAGUUUUUCAUUGCUUUGUUUAUAUUAGUGCCCCCUCCCUCCUGGGUGCCUCUAGAAUUAAACAAGCAGGUAUUUACCACCAACUUAAUCUUUAGUUUUAAAAAUAUAGACCAAACUCUAAGGUUCUCUAAAUUUUUUAUAUUUAUUUAUUGCAGAAAAAUAUACAAAGAUAUUUACAAAACAAUCAUAAAAAUAUGAAUGCAUUUAGACACCGGAUCUAUUUGCAUUUUACCAUGGGUCCUCAAUAAAUAAAUAGAAUGUUGUUUUUUGUAUUUUAAGUUUUUUUUUGUUUUUCCCCUCAGAGGAAGGAUGAAAAAAAGAAUUAACUGACUAUGGUUUUGCAGGCCAGUUUGAUCCCAGUAUUUUUAUUUCUAAAGGUGUUCUUAUAGUUCCUCUGAUUGUUACCAUUUUAAAAUAGAGAAAGUCCAUAGUGAUGCCUUUCCUUUCAGUGGCUGAUUGGCACGACCUCUUGAGAAUGCAUGCAUGAAAAAAAUAAAAAUAAAAACAUUCUUCGUCA